UCGAGCGGUAGCACAGAGAGCUUGCUCUCGGGUGACGAGCGGCGGACGGGUGAGUAAUGUCUGGGAAACUGCCUGAUGGAGGGGGAUAACUACUGGAAACGGUAGCUAAUACCGCAUAAUGUCGCAAGACCAAAGUGGGGGACCUUCGGGCCUCAUGCCAUCAGAUGUGCCCAGAUGGGAUUAGCUAGUAGGUGGGGUAACGGCUCACCUAGGCGACGAUCCCUAGCUGGUCUGAGAGGAUGACCAGCCACACUGGAACUGAGACACGGUCCAGACUCCUACGGGAGGCAGCAGUGGGGAAUAUUGCACAAUGGGCGCAAGCCUGAUGCAGCCAUGCCGCGUGUGUGAAGAAGGCCUUCGGGUUGUAAAGCACUUUCAGCGGGGAGGAAGGCGUUAAGGUUAAUAACCUUGGCGAUUGACGUUACCCGCAGAAAAAGCACCGGCUAACUCCGUGCCAGCAGCCGCGGUAAUACGGAGGGUGCAAGCGUUAAUCGGAAUUACUGGGCGUAAAGCGCACGCAGGCGGUCUGUCAAGUCGGAUGUGAAAUCCCCGGGCUCAACCUGGGAACUGCAUUCGAAACUGGCAGGCUAGAGUCUUGUAGAGGGGGGUAGAAUUCCAGGUGUAGCGGUGAGAUGCGUAGAGAUCUGGAGGAAUACCGGUGGCGAAGGCGGCCCCCUGGACAAAGACUGACGCUCAGGUGCGAAAGCGUGGGGAGCAAACAGGAUUAUAUACCCUGGUAGUCCACGCCGUAAACGAUGUCUAUUUGGAGGUUGUGCCCUUGAGGCGUGGCUUCC
This 794-nucleotide ribosomal RNA is filed under the name Klebsiella pneumoniae subsp. pneumoniae. RNAcentral describes it as "bacterial SSU rRNA". It matches the Rfam family "Bacterial small subunit ribosomal RNA", at positions 62 to 847 of the family's 1533-position model. The record is from RNAcentral. Lineage: Bacteria; Pseudomonadati; Pseudomonadota; Gammaproteobacteria; Enterobacterales; Enterobacteriaceae.